GAAAUUUCAAUUUCAUUGAUUUUUCGAAAUCAUAGAUUUAAGAAACAUUAUAAACUACAUGCAAACUGAUUUAUAAAGCAUAAACAAGACAAAAUCAUGAUAAAUAAGAUCAAAUGUCAAAAGGCAAAAAUUAUGAACCCGGGGAAGCGGCUCCAUAAGUUGUUUCUCCGAUUCCAACGUCGGCGACGCUGCGCUCCUCAUCUCAUUCCGUGUCACUGCUCAUCCAAGGGGAAAUGUUGUAUUACCUAGCAAAUUAACUUUGUGAGACAAUUUCUUCACUUUAAACGCAUCUACCAAUAUUUUCUUAAAACCCAUGUCCCUCCUAUCUACACCACUUUUUGUGGACUUUUUUAUUAAUGGCUAGAAUAUAUAUCUCCUUCAUCAAAUUGGUUACUUUUAGAGUUUUCCCUAAUCAAAAUAAACAACCAAAUUAUCUAUCCAACAUGAACAGUUUUAGAAGAGCAGUUGUAAAAUAUCAUCACCUUUCACCAUGGGAUACUUUUACGAAAGAUAAAGAUUCAUUGGCCAUUACAUUCCGGUUAAAUUACAAAGCACAGGAGCAUCAAUCUAUCCAACUCAGAAAUGGCAGAUUAGACGACCAGAAACCUUCUCUUCAUCUUUUCAAUGAGUAUAGUACGCUGAAAAGCAACGAUAUCGAGUUGCUGGAAGCAUUGUCCAUGAACUGUAUAACUGUAUCAACCGGCAUUAUCAACUCCAGUGAAGAUGCCUGCCUACAGCUACUUUCUCAAAGCUCCAUAGUUUCUUGUUACCUACAAUCAAAGUUUUAGGCUCAACUCCUGUCGUUCGAGUAUGAAAAUCCAAAAAGUGGGAUGGGACUCCAGUAAAUUAGCUGAUGUGGUU
This 861-nucleotide long non-coding RNA is filed under the name Salvia miltiorrhiza (redroot sage). RNAcentral's name for it is "long non-coding RNA (SMIL_LNC000575)". Lineage: Eukaryota; Viridiplantae; Streptophyta; Magnoliopsida; Lamiales; Lamiaceae. The record is from RNAcentral.